UACGGAGGGAGCUAGCGUUGUUCGGAAUUACUGGGCGUAAAGCGCACGUAGGCGGCGAUUCAAGUCAGAGGUGAAAGCCCGGGGCUCAACCCCGGAACUGCCUUUGAAACUAGAUUGCUAGAAUCCUGGAGAGGUGAGUGGAAUUCCGAGUGUAGAGGUGAAAUUCGUAGAUAUUCGGAAGAACACCAGUGGCGAAGGCGGACUCACUGGACAGGUAUUGACGCUGAGGUGCGAAAGCGUGGGGAGCAAACAGGG
Molecule: ribosomal RNA, 255 nt
Filed under: uncultured bacterium
Lineage: Bacteria
Description: partial 16S ribosomal RNA
Rfam family: Bacterial small subunit ribosomal RNA
Source: RNAcentral